UCCUGCCGGACCUGACUGCUAUCGGAUUGAUACUAAGCCAUGCGAGUCUUUGUAGUAAUACAAGGCAGACGGCUCAGUAACACGUAGUCAACCUACCCUAUGGACAAGAAUAAUCUCGGGAAACUGGGCAUAAUUCUUGAUAGAUCAUAAUGCCUGGAAUGGUUUAUGGUUAAAAUGAUUCGUCGCCAUAGGAUGGGACUGCGGCCUAUCAGCUUGUUGGUGAGGUAAUGGCCCACCAAGGCGAUUACAGGUACGGGCUCUGAGAGGAGAAGCCCGGAGAUGGGUACUGAGACACGGACCCAGGCCCUAUGGGGCGCAGCAGGCGAGAAAACUUUGCAAUGUGCGAAAGCACGACAAGGUUAAUCCGAGUGAUUUCUGCUAAAGAAAUCUUUUGCCAGUCAUAAAACCACUGGUGAAUAAGGGGUGGGCAAGUUCUGGUGUCAGCCGCCGCGGUAAAACCAGCACCUCAAGUGGUCAGGAUGAUUAUUGGGCCUAAAGCAUCCGUAGCCGGCUUUGUAAGUUUUCGGUUAAAUCCAUGUGCUCAACGCAUGGGCUGCCGAAAAUACUGCAUAGCUAGGGAGUGGGAGAGGUAGACGGUACUCAGUAGGAAGGGGUAAAAUCCUUUGAUCUAUUGAUGACCACCUGUGGCGAAGGCGGUCUACCAGAACACGUUCGACGGUGAGGGAUGAAAGCUGGGGGAGCAAACCGGAUUAGAUACCCGGGUAGUCCCAGCUGUAAACGAUGCAGACUCGAUGAUGCAUUGGCAUAAUAGCCAGUGCAGUG
This 783-nucleotide ribosomal RNA is filed under the name uncultured marine group I thaumarchaeote. RNAcentral describes it as "SSU rRNA". It matches the Rfam family "Archaeal small subunit ribosomal RNA", at positions 12 to 800 of the family's 1478-position model. Lineage: Archaea; Thermoproteati; Nitrososphaerota. The record is from RNAcentral.